AUUUUACAAAGGGGAACCAUCCUACAUAACUCUUUUGUGUAUGCCUGUUUGUGGUUUAGUGUAUGUGUUGCAGUGUUUGGGUUUUGGGUGCUUUUGUUUUGAAGGCGCAAAUCCGGCGCUUAUUUUUUAUUCUGAAAGGGCCAGGACGUUGUCCGUGUUUUGUUCUUUUGAGUGAUUGAUCGUGGAAAACGAGGGACACAUGCUAUGAGAAGAAGGAGAUGCUGCACGUACGCGAAUCCACUUCAUGUAAAGGAUGAAACAUCGUUAAUAGCGCUUAACUGGAUGGUGCAAAGGUAUGUUUGUGGGGGCUGUUCAUGUGUAAAUUGAUUUGUUGUCCGGUUUGCUAACCUUGUGUAUGUGAUUGACAAGUGCGCCCGGAUGAAAAUGUGAGAGUGUAAUUGUGCUUUGUGUUUUAUUUCAGCUCUUACGGUGUCUGUGGUGUGUGUGUUAAAAAAAUUAAAAGUUGAAGCCACAUCACAGUGCAUCUGUCCUCGUUCAUGGAGUCUUUAAAUCCAGUUGAGAUGCUACAGUCUCUGGUACGGAACAAAAACUUAACUCCACACAUAACUAUUAAAACAAUUAAAAGUGGAGUCUCGAGAGAUUAGAGACCAAAGCAGUCGUUUCAUCAUUCAUAGCGUUUGUUCCGCACUGUGUCAGUAAGUCUGUGUGUGUGUGUCUGUGUGCGUGUGUGCGCCAGCCCCCACCGUUAAUACGUUAAUUCAUUUAAACGUAUGCAUUGAGUAUUUAAAUACAGAAUAAAUAUGUGAUAUCAUUAAAUACAAUAAUAAGAUGCAUAAAUACAUGAUCAAGUUAGAAUACCUAAAACGUUUAAAAUUGCUAUCAAAACAUUAUGAUUAACUAUGUUCUUUCCCCUUAUAUCCAAACAGAGGCCGCUCUGAGAGCUUUACCACAAGCACAAAAGAACGGCGUCGAACGAGCUGUGGGGAUGUGUAAGAAGGUCGUCAGUGCCUUCUCUAACUCACCCAAGAAAAGGAGGGAGCUCCACAAGGCUCAGGAGGCCCUAGGCUUGCCUUUCCGUGAGCUCAUCACUGAGUCUCCUAAAAGAUGGGGUUCACACUCUUCAAUGAUCAAGAGGUUUCUAGAGCAGGAGAGCGCUCUGUCUCAAGUCCUCCGUGCGGACAAAAAGGUGAGACAGCUAAUCCAAGUGUAUCACAGCUUAUUUUCCACUGUACACACACACACACACACACACACACACACUCUACAGUUCCUCAAACUGUUUACACAUGCACACACAGACACAGACACAGACACACAGCAAUAAUUCACCUCAUUAAACAGCCCCUUUCCUCUAUUCUCUGACACAGAAGAGACACCUGGUGCCAAACUGGCAAGACAUUUCCCUCCUUGAGAGCAUCAACAAGGCCCUGGCUCCUCUUAUGGAGUUCACUGAUGCCUUGUCGGAGGAGAAGUACAUCAGCAUCUCCUUCCUGAAGCCCGUCAUCCAUCUCUUCAAUACUGAGGUACUCAAGAGGCAGGAUGACCCAGAGCUGACAGAGGCCAUCCGCGAGGCCAUCCUUCAGUACCUGAACGAGAAAUAUAAUGACCCUACCACCGACCACCUCCUCGACAUAGCCACACUAGUCGACCCGCGCUUCAAGACGGCCUACAUCCGGGAUGCAGAGAGGGUGAAGCUGAUCAAGACUAAGGCUGCUACAGAGAUGGAGGACAUGGUGAGAACUGAACAUGCACCUACAGCAGCAGCCCCCUCACCUCCACCAGCUGCUGCUGCUCUAAAGGAAGAGGAUGAUCCACAGCCUCUCCUUCCAGCAAGGAAGGUAAGGAAGAGUCUUGCGAGCUACUUCAAGAAGACACCGGCACCAGGCCAUGGCACCACCCCCAGCAGGAUGUAAAUUGAGAUGGAGCUGAAUAUGUACAUGCAGGCUCCUGAGCCUGACUCCGAGGCCGACCCUCUGGAAUGGUGGAAACUGAAUGGGAUGAACUUCCCUCAUGUAGCCAAGCUUGCAAAGAAAUAUCUGUGCAUUCCCGCGACCAGCGCUUCAUCUGAACGGGCCUUCAGCACCAGCAGUAACAUUGUUAUCUGCAAGAGGUCAUGCCUCAAGCCCAACCAAAUUGACAUGCUCACUUUCCUUGCCCUCAACCUUUAAGGUUCAUCCCAUGCAUUCAUUCCUGUUUGUGCCUGACUGUGACACCUACAGAGGCUGCUUGCAGCCUUAAAGUACUGUUAGUUCUUAAACUGUUUUUUCUUCAGACUUGCACUUGUUUUUUGCACUUGUUAAUGAUUCCAGAGACUACAACUGUGUACACUUAAUACACAAAAAGUAUUUGUUUAAAUUUCAUUGUGAUCUACUACUGUUCUGACUGCACUAAAGGCUAACGUCAAUGAUUCCAGAGACAUGCACUUUAAGUUUUUUUAUUGCAAUUGUUUACAUCUGACCUCACCAUCGACAGCUCCCCAGUUUCCCCCUCCCCCCAGGUAAAGAGUCUGGGUGUCAUCCUCGACAGUACACUCUCCUUUCAUUCCCACAUCAACACCAUUACUCGCACUGCUUACUUCCACCUCCGCAACAUCAACAGACUCCGCCCCUCCCUCACUCCCCACUCCACCGCCGUCCUUGUCCACAGCCUUGUCACCUCCCGCCUGGACUAUUGCAACUCCCUCCUUUUCGGCCUCCCCCAGAAAUCUCUCCAUAAACUCCAACUGGUCCAAAACUCAGCUGCCCGCAUCAUUACAAAGACCCCCACACACCACCACAUCACCCCCGUCCUCCAGCACCUCCACUGGCUCCCCAUCAAAGACCGGAUCAUCUACAAACUUCUCCUGUUCGCAUACAUGGCCAUCCAUAACCUUGCCCCCCCCUACCUGUCCGACCUCCUGCACGUCAUCACCCCCACCCGCUCCCUCCGGUCCUCCUCCUCCAUCCACCUCUCUGUCCCCCCUGCCCGCCUCAGUACAAUGGGGGGCAGAGCCUUCAGUCGCUCCGCCCCCCAGCUCUGGAACUCACUACCACCCGAUCUCAGAAACACUGACUCCUUUCUCUCUUUCAAAACACUACUCAAAACCCACCUGUUUCGCUCCGCAUACUCCCUGUAGCUGUCUUAUCCAUUCCGUGUCGAUUUUUAUCUGUUUAAAAUGCUUAUUGUUUUAUUUAUUGUCUUAUUGCGAAUUUCUUGUUUUUAACGUUGUACAGUGACCCUGGGUGCUUUGAAGGGCGCUUUCAAAUAAAAUUUAUUAUUAUUAUUAUUAUUAUCUGAUACCAAAAGUAUAUGUUUAUUUUUAGUUAUGAUCUAGCAUUCUGACUGCACUUCAGAGAAACUUUAAUACUUGUAAAACUUUAAAAAUGUGUUUUAAAAACUUGAAGAAUGUGUUUUGUUGCAAUUGUUGUUUGCUAUACCAAAUAUAUUUGUUUAUUUCAAUUGCAAAUAAAGUGAGAAAAAAGGUAA
Xyrichtys novacula (pearly razorfish) is the source of this 3426-nucleotide non-coding RNA. NCBI's taxonomy places the organism in Eukaryota, Metazoa, Chordata, Actinopteri, Labriformes, Labridae. The record is from the annotation of a GenBank genome assembly.